CCUAGGUGAUGGAAGAUGAUUGCAGGCAGAAGAACCUGAGCUAGGCUUUAAAAAAUGAAGCAAACCUGCCCUGCUGCACUCAGUGGGGAACCUGCAAACCUGCACCUGCAUGAGUUGUGCUUGGACUUUGUCUUUUGCAAACAAAAAUUCCAAUUUUUGAGGAGAGCUGGAGUGGAGGGGUAGAUUGUGUGAAGUGCAGCAAAACCCCUGACAUCGUUUACUCUGAAUAAACACAAGGUGCUAAUGUGAGCAUUCUAAAGAAAGUGUCUCAGUGGCUUUCCAGAAAGGCAAGCCAAAAUAUGUCUGCCUUCAUGCUGCUCUUCACCUGCGGGGUGUGCACGUUGCUUUUAUCAGCUGCACUCCAUGUUUGAAAAGUUUUUCAGCAAUCAGCUUUAAACUUGCCUCCUGGUCUGUUUCCUCUUCAGAGAGUUGGCAGCCUUCAUUUGCUGGACCUCAGAAGACAAGUCACUAAUGAAGGUAAGAACAAGCGCUCUUUGUUUCUAGGGUGUUGGAUGUCCGCAUGUAUCUAUUUAAAAUUCUCCUCCUGGUGACAGUUUGGACAUGAUUUUUAGUGUCAAAUGUGGUCUUAAGAAACUGUCAUGUUUUAAAGGUUUCAGAAUGACCAAGAAAGCUGUUAAAUCCCAAUUCUGGUGAUGUUAAAUAUGAGCAGUAUUUACAUGAGAACUACUCACACGUUGAAAACUAGAAGUGUCUGCAGCAGUUCAGACUGAGGGACCUGAAUUUUGGCAUCUUCCUUGUGUUGUGAAAUACUUUAAAAUAUUUGAGUGUCCUGAUAGCCAAAUGGAAAGAUGGAUGUUUUAUUGUGCUUGCCAAAAUAGCCUGUAUUUCUUACGGUGCCAGUUUUUCAUGAGAAUGGGAAUUAAUAUAGCACAGCCUGAAGAAAAAAUGUGGGAGAAAUAAUCUGAAACAGUGAAUUACUUGGACUGACAGUUGUCUUCUGGAAAAUAAAGGGGAAAUUUCUAUGUAUUUAGUCUCUCACAGCCAAAAUUAGGCUCAGCAGGCAUUCCACAUGUCAGGACAGGGGGUGUGAAUACCCUGCACCUUACACCAAGCCUUUUAACGUCAGGUUGCCAGCAGCCCUCUGACUGGCUAGUACUCUGUAGGGAAGAGGAGAUGGCUGUGGAGUUAAACAGACUAGUGUUUGUUUUCUUUGAUUCCUCUUUUCUUUAAGUGUCACAGAGCUUUAUCUCUGGCAUCCCUCCAUCCCUUCUGGCCACAGAAGGAGGAAGGAAGACAACUCUUCAGCCACCCCAGCAGGACAUGCUGCUGCCACUGAUGAAUUCCACACUCUGAUUUUUCUCCUCUUCUAGAUUUCAGGGAAAUAUGGUCCCACGUUCACUGCCCAUUUGGGGUUUCAGAUGUGGUGGUGCUGACUGGCUACAAGGAUGCCCUUGUGAACAUGGUGCAUGUGUUUGAUGACAGACCAGCCAUACCCAUAUUUUCUCACAUCCAACAUGGGACUGGUACUGGCAGGUUGAAAAGAUAAGGAUGUGCUUGCUGUGCUGUUUCUCAAGUGUGUUGUUUCAAUUGCAGCAAUAUUUAGGAGCCUGGAGCAGUGUCCUUAUCACUGAGGGCAACAUUCUGUGGGGCUUGAGGGUGGUUGCUUGUUUUCCUGAGAAAAAUACUUCUGGGGAUCUUCUUAAUUGCCUUAUCAAUUUUUUGCUUUCAGUGGCACUUGAGUCACAUUUCAAGGGUGAUUUUUUUAUUAUUUUUUUUUUUUUCAGCACAGAGGGAAGGAAUUUAUUUUUCAUAAUGUGAAGGCUGAGGUCCUUAUGCAAUCUCUUUUCUACAGUUACUGGGAGUUCAGACAAAGCGUGGAUCACACAUGACUCAUGACAAAACCUCCAAGAACUGGCUGGAGUGCAACAGCACGGGCUGUUUGUACCUCAAACAGUUACUUCUGUAAACAGCCUUUUGGCAGGUUUCUGAGUUGCAUGUGAAAACCUAAUACAUUGCCCAAGACUAGACAUUGAAAAACAAUGAAGGGAAUAAUCCAGGGCUGAAAGGAAAAGAUCUGAUGACCUAACAUGUAUAUAAUGCAUACAGUGUGGGCCUUUUUUUCAUCUUGUUUCUAAGAGUGAGGCCCCAUGUGAGGAAGGGUAUGUUCUGCUGCUUUCCCAGCUACUGUAUGAAGAUGGAGGCUGUGAUCAGCCCUGGAAGCCCUCCUGGGAAGGUUUAGUUGUUGCAGAAAACAGCAAGAAUUGUAACCUGCCGGGAAGAGCAAGGCAUUUAUACAUCUGAUUCUGCAGCCAGUUUAUUUAUAACACUGAGAAACAGUUUAUUUAAUUUCUGCUGGUUCCUUGGAUUUCUCCUCAAACCUCACUGAAAAAAGUAAAAAAGUGCAUCAAGAAAAUUUUGAAGGGAAGAAUUAAUAAAACACAACCUGAUGAGCUACAUUGCUGCACUGGUUUUCAAACAACAGGAGCAAAAAAAGCAACACACUUUUUCAUGAUGCAAAUGGAUUGGCCUCUGCACCCAACCUGCUCAUGAUUGGCACUAUGACAUUGCAAUGGGCCAUCCUGCUGCAGCUGAAGAACCCUGAGGUUCAAAGCACUUUCAUCUGGAUAAUUCGUUUUCUGCAAACAGCUUUCUGAAGAUAAAAAGACCCGUUUCAUUGGAAAAUUUGUGACCAUUGUUACUUAACAGCCCCUGUCACCUCUAAGUGCCUCAGACUUGGGCUGAGAAGGAGAAAGUAAAUGAAAAACAAAAAAACCCACCUAGAGUUAAAGACUGGACCUCAAAUGGCAACACAAGUUGGCAAACCGGAGAAAGAUGAAAACAGAGAAGACAUUUCAGUAGGUCGGUCCCCAAAGGUGCUGGUGAGCAGGGAGCUCAGCAGCCCAACAGAACCCCCCCCGGGCUCUGCCAGCUUCUUCUUGCACUGCAGAACAGUUAACCACCAUAAGUGGGGUUUUAAGGCAUACCAAAUUCAUCCAGAGGGAAGUGGAUUUUGCAACAGGGCAUCUGGAUUUUGGCCCUCUCCAAAGCAGUUUGAGGGGCAUUGCAUCACGGAAUUCCCUUUGCCAGUUCCCCAAAGCUCAGAAGGGAGGGCACAGCACAAACCAGGUGAGGCAUGGGGGUCAAGGUGAAGCCAACAUCAGCAGUGAGAUCUAGGUCUGACUUAUCCACUCCCGGAGCGGGCUGGAAAACAAAUUUGCGGAGCAAGCCUGCAAAGAAGAGGAACAGCUCCAUUUUGGCCAGUCCUUCUCCAAGGCAAGCCCUUCGUCCUGAAAACAAGCAGGAGAGAAGUAAAUGAUCAGCACCAUAACUGCUAGUGUUGAUGUCUGAGACCUUCUAAAAUGGAUGUGUGGUCUGUCAGAGCAAGCUGCUGAGGAAGGUUUGGCAUGAUCUCCUCCUUACAUGUGCUGAAGCAGUAACUUAUUUCAGCCACGUGGGACAUCUUGACAACUAGAUCCUUUAAUCCAGCAGUUCCAGAGGAGCAUUGGUGCAGCUCACUCUCUCAGAGCGUGUGGCAGAGCCAGGGAAUCACAGCCGCCUCCCAGCCUGCCUUUGGUCAUUUCUUUGCGUUAGAACUUCUUGGCAUCAACCCUGUUGUUUCUCAGCAGCACAAGCCUUGAAUGUGGCAAACCUGAAAGCCUAAAGAAAGAUGCUUGGCAGAUUACAGGAAAUGAGUCUGGUGUCUUUGUUUGACAUUGGGUGUCAUAAAAUCCCCCAGUACCGCCAAAAAUAUUUGCUCUCACACACUGGCACCCUCCAACACAGCAAUGAUCAGAUGGGAGUGACCAGAAGCCCUUCAAAACCAUGCUCUGCACGGUCCUCUGCACCAUAAAUCAAGACCACCAUGUGACUGCUAUAGCAAUUCUGUACUUUUGCAGCCCAGGAUGCCCCUUCUUCUAUGACUGGCUGGUGAAUUUCCAUGUCUGCACUGCGGCCCUUUGGGUGGGCUGAAGGAGCUCACUGGGGACUGGCUUUCCUCUGUCACAGCAUCCAGAAAGCACACACAGGGUAUGUGACAGGUCACUCAGGGCACCUCAACUGUCUCAACAGCAACCAGAGAAAUCUGAAUUCUCAUUGACUUUUCCCCACCUCCCUAUGGAAACAGAGCAGACAGUUUCUGAAACAAACAUUGCACCUGGCUUUAUAAUCACAGAAUAAUAUUUAAGUCUUUUAUUUAUUUAUUUAUUUUCUUUUUUAGAAAUAAAAGUAUCCAUGGAGCUGCAUAAGAAAAAGCAAUUUGUUUACCUAGGAACACAAAAGCCACACAUCAAGUAUUAAGUAACCCUGGCCUGAGUGUGUGUGCAGGGGAAGGGAUGGGCAGGCAGAGUCGAGAUUUGCAUUGCAGGGAUAUAAUGAGCUUUGGAAAUAAAUGUGCAUAUGACCCCAUUUCCUCUGCUGGGGGGAUGAUACCCUUUCUUCCUCCCUUUUUUUCCUUUUCACCUGCUUUUAGGAGGAGAGGUCUGUCUGCAGUGAGACAUCUCUUGAUGGCAGAAAGUCCUGAUCUGUCAGCAGACUGGCCCAACUCCAGUCUUCUACCUGCAGCCUCUGAGAAGGUCAAAGUACCAACAAUACGGAGCUGAUUGCAAGGAGUGAAGGUCUAGGUCUGUGUAUGUAUAAUGGCAGCAAUAUUUAUAUCUAUAAAUACUUGUAUGUAUAUACCUCUGAAGAUAAAGUCACUCCACCAGCCUGUCUAUGCCCCAGAUAUCUCAUUUCUGCCCUCCACACAGCACAAAUACAACCACAUCUCCAUUUCUCUCAUUGCAUUCCUUGCUUCAGGAAUUGCACCUUUUCCUCCUGCUUGCUCACUCCCACCCUACCUCUGUCAGCGACUGGAAUGGCUUUUUCAGGUCCACCACAUUCAAGUUUCCAAUCAGAGGAAGAGGUCGUGGCCCAGGAGGCAAAUUGCAGACCGACUUCUUCAAGCUGGUAAGAAGGUAAAGGAGGGCGACCAGCCCUGCUGCCAAACAGAGUAGUGAGCUGGUGCCCACGUUCUGCAGCAAGCUCUGCAUGGCCAUAUCUAAAUCAAAGUGUGGGUGUGAGCAUCUUGGGGUCCCUUUAUAGUCCUUCUGUCCUUGGUGAACACACCUUCUGGGCAAGAGGCUUUACACAGAGAAAAGGACUCUGAGAUCUUGUUUACUUUCGUACUGAUGACCUGAUGUACUUUUUUUCCAUGCCAAAUAAAGCACACUGUUUUAUUCUGAAGCAUGGAUUAUCUUAAUCCAGAGCUCUUAUUUCAUCUAGAACACUGGGGCAAGGUGUUUGUUUUCCAGUGAAAAUCUGUGUUUUGGGCGUGUUGUGGUCUAUGUGAUUUCAUGGGCAGAAUCAAGGGACAAGACCCAUGCUGGAUUGCUGUGGUGGUGCCAGAUUGCUGGACUCAGCUGGACCACUGGUGAUGCAACAAGUGAAGCAGGACACAGGAGGGAAAGCCCACACUCAUGCAUGGCCCAGGGUGCAGCUGGCAAGGAAAUCCUCAGGGAAAACAAGGCUGACCAAGGAGGAGCUGGAAUGGUGGUGGCAUGAAGAUGUGCUAAUUCAGGGUCGCAGCUGGGAGCAGAUCUGCCUACAGUUUGCUGUUCACUGUGUGCUUGGAUGUCCAUCUCUGUGUCUGAGUUGGGUGAUGACUCUUGCCUGGCUGUCCUGCCUGUUUAUGAGAAGAUGCAUCCCAUCCUCUAAGAGAAACCGUCCCCUCCAGGCAAUAUUUCUGCCUAGGUUGGGAAAGAGAUCCUGGAUCGUUGUAACCUGGAAGGAGCCAGGAUCAGGCUCUGCAGCUGGCCAGGCAGAGGCUGGAUGCUGCCUGGGCAGCUGCUGCAGGGGGUGCCAGCCAGGAGGACACAGUUUGGCACUCAGGUGCACUGAGUCACACACCAGGGCAAGGUCCUGCAAGGGCCCACGUGCCUGGGCAACUGCUCCCCAACAGCCACCUGCACCCUUUGCAGCCUUGGGCAUGGCAACAAAGCAGAAGUGAUUGUGAAUGGGAGGCCACAGUGGUAAAUGGUGGCUUUGGGGAAAGCAGCCAAUUUGAUGCUCUGUCCCAUAUUCUCAGGCAGGGAUAUUUUGCUCCCCAUUGCAGAUUCCAUCAGAUUACUGGGCUGUGGCUGCUGUUUAACCCUUCAGAAAUCUUUAGUUUCAAUAAUACUUUUGCUAGAAUCCUCCAAGGCUCCUGGGUGCAGGCUCCACUGGUGGAAAAAUGAUGAUUACUUAUUAUUAAUAAUAAAAGUACAUUAGCUGAAGGCAAAGAGAAUCAAUAAACUCUAACUAGAUUGACAGAAAAAAGGUGCCUGCACGUCUGCGUGUUCUCCAAGGCUUGUUACCAGGAGUGGAGUUUUUCACAAGGGACAAUUACCCUGUGCAGAAGAGGACUAGGCAGGGUGGGCAAAGAAAGGAGGGAAACAGAUGGUCAUGUCCAUCUCAAGAUUUGCUGUACAGCUAUGAGGUUUUGGUCUGCACCCUCUUCUCCCAGACAUUUCCAAGAAUGUCCUGGUCUGCCAGAUUCUGAGCAAAUGUUGUGACCACUGGGACUUUUGAAACUUCGUAAGAUAUGGUAAGAGUGAGGAAAAAAAACCCUGCAUGGGCCUAGUUGGUACCCAUGGAGGAAAUGUGUGGGUUUUGUUUACAUGUAGCCACCACAGCUCUGUUGGAGUCGAGCCGGCUACUGCCAUAGCAAGCCAGAGCACUUUCUCAAGGGCUUUUAGGCUGUUUAAAGCUUCAGGUUGCACCUCGUGAUAAUAUGGGGUGAAAUCCUUUCUCAAGUAAUGAGCCCAUGGAAUUGCAACCUGCAAUUCAGGCAGGUGCAUGCACUGUGGGAAACGGUGGGUGAGCUCUCCAGUGGGAGGAUAUCAUUGCAGUUUUAAAGUACAACUGAUGUGAUGUCCUCACCUCCGUUUCCUCCUCACAUACCUUGGUUUCCAGUAUGCAAACCUGAACACAGCCUACAACUGAGUUGUUGACUUGCAGGUGAGGCAUCCCACACAGGACUGGGGAGAAACCAUUGCUCCCUGUUCAGGUUUUUGUCCUUCUGCCAGCCCAAGCCAGAACUGAUACCAUCUUCAGGUAAGAGGACUUUGUGGGCAGAGCUGAGGAAACUAAUCAUCAGUUCCUCCUAGAAAAUGAGCCUGUACACUAAACAGCCACAGGAUCAUCAAACUUCUGUGUGCUCAUCUGGAGGAGGAUAUACAACCUCCUAAUGGGACACAGGUUAAUAAUGCUACAGUAACAGCAGGAUAAUGCAAAGAAAGAGCUGUUAUAAGGCCAUAAUUCAGUCAAUGAGUUCUGAUAGCAUAAUAAACCAGGAGAGUGAACACCAAGUGCUUGUGUGCCUUGUGAGGCUCUGCAACUGAUUUACAACCUCGAGAUGCCUAUCAGCCCAUGGAUUGUUAUCAGGGGUAUAUAAAGCAUGAGCACACCCUAUUAAACAUUAACAUUUUUAAAGACUCAGAUGUGUUAAAACUCAGGCUGCUCCUUGCUAAUGGAUUUUGCUCCCCUUGACAAAUGCCAAUGCAAAAAGAAAUCAAAAGCUUUCCCACUUUGAGCCCUUUCCAUUUUUCAUAAUUAUUGCAUUGUUUGAUUGGAUUACACUCACUGUUUCCUAUCCUGCAAACUGUUUUUUUCUACAAGAUCACUACAGGGUAGUGAUCAGGAUCUCAAGUGUUCACUAGGCUCAUUUUUAUACAAAUAACUUGUACUGAAUUGUUCUUAAUUUAUCUUUCAAAUCUGUGUGUUGCACAUCUGCUUGGGGAAGAAAGACUCCUGCAAAAUGCUUUUAAAAAUCAUUCUUUUACUGCAAAUUUUCAAUGAAAGAUUCUUGGGGUUUGUUGUUGUUUGUUUUUUGCAUUCUCAGAGCUGAAGGAUUGUAUGUGAUGGGUCUGGUCACUGAAGAAGAAAAUUUAAAAAUCUUAUGCAUGGGAUUAGGGCAUUGUCUCUGUGCAGAGCCUAAGGUGACACUCAUGUUAAGCAUUUACCCAUUUUAGGAACACACCAUUCUCAGGAACUUUGUUCCUUUCAAAAGCCGUGUUCUUUGACCAAAGAGAUGUCAUUUCUUCAUGAGUCUCCCUCAGUGACAAAAUACGUGGGGAGAUCCUGGGAUCUGGUGCUGAUAAUGUACUUUAUAAUAGGCAUAUCUAUAAAAAAUAUUUGCAGUAAAAUCCAUGAGCCAGAAGAAGGAACUUCCAGACCCUGUGCUUAGGCCAAGGCAGCCUGACUUGGGAAGGUGGUAUUGAGGAGCUCAGGUUAUAAAGAAUUUAUUUUCAAAAUACAACUGAACAGAUCAAAUGCCUCGAUGUAGCUCCAAGGAUCUUCCUGUUCUGGGUCUCUAGGAUCAGUCUAUCUCAACAAGAAUAUUGCAGAAAUUACAUGAAUCCAAGGACAAUUUGGGGGACAUCACAAAGGAUAAUUAUUUGGCAGGUAUCUACAGAGCCAGGGUCCCAGCAUCUUAUUUUUGCCCCACCCCAUCCUGAUGCAGGUAGAGAUAUGGAUUUAAAUAUACCAGAAUUGCAACUAGCAAUGUUAAAAAAAAAUAAAAUAGCUUGCUUUGGCUUUCAGCACAGUGUUACUAUUUCUUCCCCUCUAACCUGAUGAGGCUUUGGCUCAGUCAUACCAGAAAAUGAACUAUCAUUCUUUACAUCUUUCCAGAGCACAUAAUAUAUUAAGGCCCUGACCUUCCUGGCAUGAAACCAUGAUUUCCCUUUAAGUGCAAAACAAUAAUAUUCCAUUAAUCAUCCACAACAGAAAUCCCCAUUCCCCAGACUUUUCUGGCAAUAUUCUGCAUUUUUGCUUGUCUGGGACCUUGAAUUGAAAGGGAGAAAAAUGGUUUACAACAGCCUGUGGCAAGUGAUGUAGCAAGAGGCCUUAUGUAAGAGCUGGCGGGUGCUGGCACGGGGGUGAGGCCAGGAAUGAGUGAUCCUGGAAGGAUGUUUCUCUGAGGUGUGUUCUGUGCCUGGGCUGGGAACUGCAGUCUCAAGGGCACAAAUUCCAGCGUCUGAAUGUGCUUGGUCUUGUUGGACUCAUUAAUUUCUUACAACUAUCCCAAGUCAAGCUACGAAAUCCCCGUGUACUUUGCUAAAAGCCUUUCAUGGUUUGUCGAUAAAUUAUCUUCAAAUUAACUACCUGAUAAUUUGAACCUGUAAGCUCUUAAAAGAUGCAAAACGGUGAGAGAGAGAAAAUAAUGAAAGUCCUGGACUUUGCUCUGCCCAUAAAAAAGGAAUAUAGGUUCUGCUCUGGUGUGUUAUUCCAUCUGGUGCUUCUAAAAGUAAUGCCAAGUGUGUAAGAACUGCUUCAGAAGGUACCUGUGUACAACUGACAGAUAAGCACCAACAGUGGAAUGAGUUUUCAAUGUGAUCUGACAACAUUGUAAAAGAGCAAAUAUUUUUAACUGUUACUUUAUUCCAUAAUUAAUGACUUUUUAGUCCAGACUUAAUGACUAACAGCCCUGAUUCAAGCAAAGGAUUGUUUUUUUACCUAUCAGGUUGUAUAACUUGAAAUGGGAAGAUCCAAGAUUUUUUCCUAGUUUGGGAAGCCUCCUAAUUUUUGGAAAGGGCUCAGGACUCCAGACUAGGGAUACUGUAAAACACUAGAUGCUUUACAAAUGAUCUUUCUUGUACAAUGGGCACGUUUUUAUGGGUACCUUUUUACUGACAGCUAUUUCAGAUUUCCCUGGUGCCGUGAAUGUCUCUUGCUUCUUUGAAAGAUAAUACGUGAAAAGCAUUUCAUUCUCUGUUCAUGGCACUGUUUUUAUUGCAUUCUUUUGGAACUGCUUGGCUUAAUCUGCAAAUGAGGUUGUGUUUUGUUUGGUUUUUUCACAGUGGUUAUCUAAUGGGGGGUUCACUUGAUCUCCUUGGGAAAAAUACACACUAAAGUGCUAAAGGACAUGUAUGAGGUUCUCAGACAAACUGUAAAGGAAACUCUACAAGAUGCAACUGAUAUUACCAAUAAAAACAUUAAGUAAGCAUAACCAAACACCUGCUACUAUACCUGACCUGAAUUUGGGUAACUACAAAAUUUAAGACUCCAGAGAAAGACAUGCAGUUGAUUAAUACAUAAUCAGACUAUUGGGAUUGAAAAUGACAGAGCAAGUUGACAAAGCCUUUGCACAGGAUUGUUGCUGACUGGGAAUAACGCCAGAUCCCUGCGUGGGAUCCCUGCGUAUCUUUUUCUGUUGAUUCCUUCCUUUAUCCCACAGGGAAUCAGCGAGUCAACAGCUGUGCCAGAAAUGAACCAUAAUGUGGGCAAUUUGCUGAAAUCCAGUCCUUUAACACUUCAGUUAAACUUGCCCAGAUAAACCAAAGCUGCUUCUCUGCUGCUCAGUCCUUGGAGAUCUGGGAGACAGUUUGCUGAGUGUAUUUAUGAAAGAGAAGUGUCUCCCUUUUGCUGUUAAGUGUUGUAACAAAGUCAAGUGGAAAAGUGCUAUUUACUGUCUAAUAACAAACAUCUAUUGUUCAUAGCCCUGAAAACAUGAUAAUAAAUAAAACCUUGUAUUUCAGGCUGUGUAAACCAGUUGCUUAUGUAAUAGGACAUGGUGUCAUUUUUCAUUUACAAUUUCAAUACUGUAAUAUGAAAGCGAUCAAAGCAUAAACAAAACACACUUUAAAUGGGGCUGCAGGUAAUAUUUCUAUAAUGGCUGAUUUGUUUUGUUUUGUUUU
This is an RNA transcript of Apus apus (common swift), 10613 nucleotides long. It is a transcript of the gene named cytochrome c oxidase assembly protein COX19, with no coding region annotated. The record is from RefSeq and is a predicted model, not a curated record. NCBI's taxonomy places the organism in Eukaryota, Metazoa, Chordata, Aves, Apodiformes, Apodidae. The transcript is spliced from 12 exons.